Molecule: small nuclear RNA, 105 nt
Filed under: Mus caroli (Ryukyu mouse)
Lineage: Eukaryota; Metazoa; Chordata; Mammalia; Rodentia; Muridae
Source: RNAcentral
GUGUUUUCUUUGGCAGCAUGAACACUGAUGUUGGGAUAACACAGAGAAGGUUAGAAUGGUUCAGCACAAGGUGACAUACAAAGUUGUGAAGCAUUCUAUAUUCUU